AGGGGAAUUUUGGACAAUGGGCGAAAGCCUGAUCCAGCCAUGCCGCGUGAGUGAAGAAGGCCUUCGGGUUGUAAAGCUCUUUUAGUCGGAAAGAAAGAGUUGCAAUGAAUAAUUGUGAUUUAUGACGGUACCGACAGAAAAAGCACCGGCUAACUACGUGCCAGCAGCCGCGGUAAUACGUAGGGUGCGAGCGUUAAUCGGAAUUACUGGGCGUAAAGGGUGCGCAGGCGGUCUUGCAAGUCAGAUGUGAAAGCCCCGGGCUUAACCUGGGAAUUGCGUUUGAAACUACAAGGCUAGAGUGCAGCAGAGGGGAGUGGAGUUCCAUGUGUAGCAGUGAAAUGCGUAGAGAUGUGGAAGAACACCGAUGGCGAAGGCAGCUCCCUGGGUUGACACUGACGCUCAUGCACGAAAGCGUGGGGAGCAAACA
Molecule: ribosomal RNA, 427 nt
Filed under: uncultured beta proteobacterium
Lineage: Bacteria; Pseudomonadati; Pseudomonadota; Betaproteobacteria
Description: bacterial SSU rRNA
Rfam family: Bacterial small subunit ribosomal RNA
Source: RNAcentral